This 864-nucleotide ribosomal RNA is filed under the name uncultured archaeon. RNAcentral describes it as "SSU rRNA". It matches the Rfam family "Archaeal small subunit ribosomal RNA", at positions 474 to 1337 of the family's 1478-position model. The record is from RNAcentral.
AACCAGCACCUCAAGUGGUCAGGAUGAUUAUUGGGCCUAAAGCAUCCGUAGCCGGCUCUGUAAGUUUUCGGUUAAAUCUGUACGCUUAACGUACAGGCUGCCGGGAAUACUGCAGAGCUAGGUAGUGGGAGAGGUAGACGGUACUCGGUAGGAAGGGGUAAAAUCCUUUGAUCUAUUGAUGACCACCUGUGGCGAAGGCGGUCUACCAGAACACGUACGACGGUGAGGGAUGAAAGCUGGGGGAGCAAACCGGAUUAGAUACCCGGGUAGUCCCAGCUGUAAACUAUGCAAACUCGGUGAUGCAUUGGCUUGUGGCCAAUGCAGUGCUGCAGGGAAGCCGUUAAGUUUGCCGCCUGGGAAGUACGUACGCAAGUAUGAAACUUAAAGGAAUUGGCGGGGGAGCACCACAAGGGGUGAAGCCUGCGGUUCAAUUGGAGUCAACGCCAGAAAUCUUACCCGGAGAGACAGCAGAAUGAAGGUCAAGCUGAAGACUUUACCAGACAAGCUGAGAGGUGGUGCAUGGCCGUCGCCAGCUCGUGCCGUGAGAUGUCCUGUUAAGUCAGGUAACGAGCGAGAUCCCUGCCUCUAGUUGCCACCAUUACUCUCAGGAGUAAUGGGGCGAAUUAGCGGGACCGCCGCAGUUAAUGCGGAGGAAGGAAGGGGCCACGGCAGGUCAGUAUGCCCCGAAACUCUGGGGCCACACGCGGGCUGCAAUGGUAACGACAAUGGGUUUCGAAUUCAAAAGGAUGAGGUAAUCCUCAAACGUUACCACAGUUAUGACUGAGGGCUGCAACUCGCCCUCACGAAUAUGGAAUCCCUAGUAACUGCGUGUCACUAUCGCGCGGUGAAUACGUCCCUGCUCCU